RNAcentral lists this transfer RNA (92 nucleotides) under Bacteroidota bacterium. Its description in RNAcentral is "Bacteroidetes bacterium (hot springs metagenome) tRNA-Ser". It matches the Rfam family "tRNA". From Rfam's summary of the family: Transfer RNA (tRNA) molecules are approximately 80 nucleotides in length. Their secondary structure includes four short double-helical elements and three loops (D, anti-codon, and T loops). Lineage: Bacteria; Pseudomonadati; Bacteroidota. The record is from RNAcentral.
GGAGAGCUGCCAGAGUGGUCGAAUGGGGCAGACUCGAAAUCUGUUGACCUGCUUAUGUGGGUCCGGGGGUUCGAAUCCCUCGCUCUCCGCAA